UAACAAGUCAUUGGUCCUUCUCACC
Molecule: non-coding RNA, 25 nt
Filed under: Rattus norvegicus (Norway rat)
Lineage: Eukaryota; Metazoa; Chordata; Mammalia; Rodentia; Muridae
Source: RNAcentral